ACGACAUGGUUAUUACCACCUGGCGAAUUUAAACGCGAAGACAUGUAUCGAAGGUAUUGGAAACAAGUUCAAUAUCUGGUAGAUUCCUUCUGGAAACGAUGGCAAAGAGAAUAUCUCUUAACUUUACAACAACGUUCUAAGUGGACAGUUUCGAAACGUAAUGUUUGUAUAAACGAUAUUGUGCUAUUAGUGGAUGAUAACGCUCCGCGAAACCAGUGGAAAAUGGGACGUGUUACCAAAGUGUAUUAUGACUGUAAAAACCUAGUUAGAAGUGUUUGUGUUAAGACACAAUUCUCAGAAUUUCAAAGACCUAUCUCAAAAUUAGUACUCAUUUUGCCCUAAUAUGUAUUUGGUUAAACCGUACGUUUAAGGGGCCGGAAUGUUAGGGCCAAAUUUCGUUUGUAUAGAUCCGAGUCCAUUAUUUUGUUGCUAUUAUAUCCAAGUCAAUGUUUUAGAUAUGCAUUUCCUGUCUUAACCUAGGGUCAAGGCUGUUAGCCUGAUUGUAUUUUAUGAAGCCAUGUGCUUUUAUUCAUUUUUUCAACGUACUAACGUGUUCACUUAUUAACGGUUCAUAAACAUGUUGUAAACCCCUCAGUUAUCUUGCAAGUCAAAAACCAUUCACUCGACAUUCACCAUUCAACAUUCAUUCAACAUUUAUU
Molecule: long non-coding RNA, 659 nt
Organism: Patella vulgata (common limpet)
Lineage: Eukaryota; Metazoa; Mollusca; Gastropoda; Patellidae
Exons: 2
Source: RefSeq, a predicted model, not a curated record